Molecule: unclassified non-coding RNA, 270 nt
Filed under: air metagenome
Description: partial contains small subunit ribosomal RNA, internal transcribed spacer 1, and 5.8S ribosomal RNA
Rfam family: Eukaryotic small subunit ribosomal RNA (bases 1-46)
Source: RNAcentral
AAGUCGUAACAAGGUUUCCGUAGGUGAACCUGCGGAAGGAUCAUUAAUGAAUGAAAUUGAGUGGGGUUGUAGCUGGCCUUUCACCGGGCAUGUGCACGCCUCAUUCGACCACCUUCUACACCUCUGUGCACUUCUCAUGAGUUGGACCGCGUCUGAAAUAUUGACAAAGUCCGGCUCGUGUGUUUUAUACAAACGAAUCAUGUCAUAGAAUGUCACUACCAUGCUUUGAAGCAUAUAAUACAACUUUCAACAACGGAUCUCUUGGCUCUC